Prunus avium (sweet cherry) is the source of this 185-nucleotide non-coding RNA. Lineage: Eukaryota; Viridiplantae; Streptophyta; Magnoliopsida; Rosales; Rosaceae. The record is from RefSeq and is a predicted model, not a curated record.
AUGUGAAAUUUUUGUUGAUGCUCAAAAUGGUUGGGCCAAGAUUGAGUCCAACUUAGUGAUGAGGUGUGAUGAAUGAUGGGUGAAGGUUUGGACCUUCAGCAUGUAUGUGAGGACUUGGCCAAUUUAUGAGUAUACAAAAGACAAGAUAUAUGUGGUUCACCCUUAAUGAAUGGGCUACGUCCACA